RNAcentral lists this long non-coding RNA (640 nucleotides) under Sorghum bicolor (sorghum). RNAcentral describes it as "long non-coding RNA (SBIC_LNC007425)". Lineage: Eukaryota; Viridiplantae; Streptophyta; Magnoliopsida; Poales; Poaceae. The record is from RNAcentral.
UCGGUAAGUUCGUCAUAAACAUCAUCGAUCUCUGCUAAUCAACUCCUUCGGAUCUGUUAAAAAAACGGCUUCUCAUAAUACGUGUGUUGUGAUCGUGCGUGCAGUCGAGCGACGAGGAAGAGGAGGUGAUCGAUGAGAACGGAGAGAUCGUCAAGAGGAAGAAGAAGAAGGGCCUUAAGGAGAAGAUCAAGGAGAAGCUGCCGGGCCACCACAAGGACCACGACGGCGACCACCACACGGCCGCCGUACCGGCCCCCGCGCCCGUGGUGGACGCGCACGCUCACCACCACCAGGAGGAAGAGCACAAGCCGCAGCACUUCCCGGCCCCGGCGCCACCCCCACACGUGGAGACGCACGUCCACCAGCAUGACCACGGCGUCGUCGUCCAGAAGGUCGAGGACGACGUGAAGACCGAGACCCCACCCCCAGCGCCGGAGGAGGAGAAGAAAGGCCUGCUGGACAAGAUCAAGGAGAAGCUCCCCGGUGGCCACAAGAAGCCCGAAGACGCUGCCGCUGCCGCACCGGCCGUCCACGCGCCGGCGCCGGCGCCGCACGCCGAGGAGGUGAGCAGCCCGGAUGGCAAGGAGAAGAAGGGCUUGCUGGGCAAGAUCAUGGACAAGAUACCCGGUUACCACAAGGG